ACGAGAGAUGAAGAGCUUGCUCUUCAAUCGAGUGGCGAACGGGUGCGUUACGCGUGGGUAACCUGCCUCACACUGGGGGAUAACAGUUAGAAAUAGCUGCUAAUACCGCAUAAGCGCACGGUUCCGCAUGGAACAGUGUGAAAAACUCCGGUGGUGUGAGAUGGACCCGCGUCUGAUUAGCCAGUUGGCGGGGUAACGGCCCACCAAAGCGACGAUCAGUAGCCGGCCUGAGAGGGUGAACGGCCACAUUGGGACUGAGACACGGCCCAAACUCCUACGGGAGGCAGCAGUGGGGAAUAUUGCACAAUGGGGGAAACCCUGAUGCAGCGACGCCGCGUGAGUGAAGAAGUAUUUCGGUAUGUAAAGCUCUAUCAGCAGGGAAGAAAGUGACGGUACCUGAAUAAGAAGCCCCGGCUAACUACGUGCCAGCAGCCGCGGUAAUACGUAGGGGGCAAGCGUUAUCCGGAUUUACUGGGUGUAAAGGGAGCGUAGACGGCAAGGCAAGUCUGAAGUGAAAGCCCGGUGCUUAACGCCGGGACUGCUUUGGAAACUGUUUAGCUGGAGUGCCGGAGAGGUAAGCGGAAUUCCUAGUGUAGCGGUGAAAUGCGUAGAUAUUAGGAAGAACACCAGUGGCGAAGGCGGCUUACUGGACGGUAACUGACGUUGAGGCUCGAAAGCGUGGGGAGCAAACAGGAUUAGAUACCCUGGUAGUCCACGCCGUAAACGA
RNAcentral lists this ribosomal RNA (727 nucleotides) under uncultured bacterium. Its description in RNAcentral is "bacterial SSU rRNA". It matches the Rfam family "Bacterial small subunit ribosomal RNA", at positions 66 to 809 of the family's 1533-position model. The record is from RNAcentral.